RNAcentral lists this ribosomal RNA (460 nucleotides) under uncultured bacterium. RNAcentral describes it as "partial 16S ribosomal RNA". It matches the Rfam family "Bacterial small subunit ribosomal RNA", at positions 338 to 795 of the family's 1533-position model. The record is from RNAcentral.
CCUACGGGAGGCAGCAGUGAGGAAUAUUGGUCAAUGGGCGCGAGCCUGAACCAGCCAAGCAGCGUGAAGGAUGACUGCCCUACGGGUUGUAAACUUCUUUUAUAAAGGAAUAAAGUGAGGCACGUGUGCCUUUUUGUAUGUACUUUAUGAAUAAGGAUCGGCUAACUCCGUGCCAGCAGCCGCGGUAAUACGGAGGAUCCGAGCGUUAUCCGGAUUUAUUGGGUUUAAAGGGUGCGUAGGUGGGUUGUUAAGUCAGUUGUGAAAGUUCGCGGCUCAACCGUAAAAUUGCAGUUGAUACUGGCAGUCUAGAGUACAGUUGAGGUAGGCGGAAUGCGUGGUGUAGCGGUGAAAUGCUUAGAUAUCACGCAGAACUCCGAUUGCGAAGGCAGCUUACUAGACUGCCACUGACAUUGAUGCUCGAAAGUGUGGGUAUCAAACAGGAUUAGAUACCCCAGUAGUC